RNAcentral lists this long non-coding RNA (248 nucleotides) under Solanum tuberosum (potato). RNAcentral describes it as "long non-coding RNA (STUB_LNC003223)". Lineage: Eukaryota; Viridiplantae; Streptophyta; Magnoliopsida; Solanales; Solanaceae. The record is from RNAcentral.
UUCAAUAUCUGCAAAAGCUGCAUCCUCUUUGUCCUAUUCUCAGGCUGGAUAAAUCACAAAUGAACAUAUUUUAACUAUGAACAAAAUACAAUUAAUUAUAUCUCCGGUUUAAUUACACGAGUAGGGUAUAUACAGAUUGAUAAACUCUCGGAUCAAAAGAAAGGUUAGUAAGAUACGAAGCAAAUACAACAACAAAUAAUAAUUAAUACACAUCAAACAAUAAGAACUACUACUCAAUAACUAACAAC